RNAcentral lists this unclassified non-coding RNA (351 nucleotides) under uncultured fungus. RNAcentral's name for it is "partial contains small subunit ribosomal RNA, internal transcribed spacer 1, and 5.8S ribosomal RNA". The stretch from base 1 to 73 matches the Rfam family "Eukaryotic small subunit ribosomal RNA", at positions 1759 to 1831 of the family's 1831-position model. The record is from RNAcentral. Lineage: Eukaryota; Fungi.
GCAAACUUGGUCAUUUAGAGGAAGUAAAAGUCGUAACAAGGUUUCCGUAGGUGAACCUGCGGAAGGAUCAUUGUGGAAAGAAAAUGUUGAGCGAGAGAGAGAAAUCUCACUCUCGCUCUUAAUAAAGCCAUGUUGAAAUGUGUAUAAUCAUAAUCAUAAUCAUUCGAGUUGUUGGUUGGGAGAGAGAAGAAUGUUUUUCUUUCUCUCACACAACAAACUCUCGGAUUGAUCUUGAUUCUUGAUCAUUAUCAUAAACGAUAAAUCAAUUUAAAUCUUAAUCGUCAAAUUUUAAUUUAACUUUUAACUUUUAACAAUGGAUCUCUAGGCUCUUGCAUCGAUGAAGAACGCAGC